GUAGUUAGCCGGGGCUUCCUCCUCAAGUACCGUCAUUAUCUUCCUUGAGGACAGAGUUUUACGACCCGAAGGCCUUCAUCACUCACGCGGCGUUGCUGCAUCAGGCUUUCGCCCAUUGCCCAAUAUUCCCCACUGCUGCCUCCCGUAGGAGUUUGGACCGUUUCUCAGUUCCAAUGUGGCCGGUCAUCCUCUCAGAUCGGCUACCCAUCGUCGACUUGGUGGGCCGUUACCUCACCAACUAUCUAAUGGGACGCGAACUCACCCGUGCGUGGAUUGCUCCUUUUACCCCUGCACCAUGCGGUGCUGUGGUCUUAUGCGGUAUUAGCAACUGUUUCCAGUUGUUAUCCCCCUCGCACGGACAGAUUGUUCACGCGUUACUCACCCGUCCGCCACUAGAAUACCCUCGUAUUGCUACUCGGAUAUCCCCGUUCGACUUGCAUGUGUUAAGCACGCCGCCAGCGUUCGUCCUGAGCCAGAAUCGAACCCUGA
Molecule: ribosomal RNA, 489 nt
Filed under: uncultured bacterium
Lineage: Bacteria
Description: partial 16S ribosomal RNA
Source: RNAcentral